AUGAACGCUGGCGGCGUGCCUAAUACAUGCAAGUCGAGCGAACAGACGAGGAGCUUGCUCCUCUGACGUUAGCGGCGGACGGGUGAGUAACACGUGGAUAACCUACCUAUAAGACUGGGAUAACUUCGGGAAACCGGAGCUAAUACCGGAUAAUAUAUUGAACCGCAUGGUUCAAUAGUGAAAGACGGUUUUGCUGUUACUUAUAGAUGGAUCCGCGCCGCAUUAGCUAGUUUGUAAGGUAACGGCUUACCAAGGCAACGAUGCGUAGCCGACCUGAGAGGGUGAUCGGCCACACUGGAACUGAGACACGGUCCAGACUCCUACGGGAGGCAGCAGUAGGGAAUCUUCCGCAAAGGGCGAAAGCCUGACGGAGCAACGCCGCGUGAGUGAUGAAGGUCUUCGGAUCGUAAAACUCUGUUAUUAGGGAAGAACAAAUGUGUAAGUAACUAUGCACGUCUUGACGGUACCUAAUCAGAAAGCCACGGCUAACUACGUG
Molecule: ribosomal RNA, 496 nt
Filed under: uncultured bacterium
Lineage: Bacteria
Description: partial 16S ribosomal RNA
Rfam family: Bacterial small subunit ribosomal RNA
Source: RNAcentral